AAUAGUGGCCCCCUAAAAAGAUAGGUCCAAAUCCUAACACUCAGUACCUGUGAAUGUGACCGUAUUUGGGAAAAAGGUCUGUGCAGAUGUAAUUAAUGAUCUCAAAAUGAGACCAUCUUGGAUUAGCCGGCUGGGUUCUAAUCCAAUGUCCUGUGUCCUUGUAUAAGACAGAAGCAGGACGGACAUAGACACGGAGUGGGAGGCCCCAUGAAGGCAGAGGCAGAGAUUGGAGUGGCGCAGCUCCAGGCCAAGGAAUGCCAAAGAUUGCCCGCAGCCAGCAGGCACUGGGAGAGAGGCCUGGGUCAGGUCAUCCCUCGGAGACUCCAGAAGGAACCAAUCCUGCCGACACCUUGAUUUCCGACUUCCAGCCUCCAGAAUUGACAGUUAUGAUGGAGAGAACUGGGUGUCACCAUUUUAACCAAACUCAGCAUCACUAAGGUGGGACAACCUACUGUUAGAUGCCUCCUGAUGCAGUGAAGCCCACAGCGUCACCUGUGAAGUAUCCGUGCCUAAAACAUCUCAUCUGAAUCCAACCAAGCCUAGGACCUGACUUCCAGGACACAGUGAGGUCUUGAAAAUAAUGUUUAUUCAGGAAUAGGCAUUGCCAUGGGAAUAUGGGUUCCAAGACACAGAGUGCUAGGGUUUAGAUGUCCUCUCCAAAACUCAUUUUGAAAUUAAUUGUCAUUGGGAAGGAAUUAAGAGCCAGGGCCUUUGACAGGUGAUUCGGUCAUGCCCUCAUCAGUAGAUUAAUGCUGUUACCAUGGAGAGAAUUAGUUCUUUGGGGAGGGAAGUUCAGCCCCCACCUGUACUCUCUCUGUCUUCGGUGCUUGCCUGCCCUUCUGCCUUUCUCCAUGGAGUAAUGCAGCACAAAAGCCCUCACCAGAUGUGGCCCCUCAAUCUUCCCAGCCUCCAGAACUGUG
RNAcentral lists this long non-coding RNA (920 nucleotides) under Homo sapiens (human). RNAcentral describes it as "HSALNT0156350". Lineage: Eukaryota; Metazoa; Chordata; Mammalia; Primates; Hominidae. The record is from RNAcentral.